UGUCUCGACCAUGCACCCUUCACUACCUACCCUCCACUCCCUUCCUGGUGCUUUCUAGUGUCAUCUCCUAAAAACACCACCGGCCCCAGAAUUCUUGUCUCAGGGUCCUCUCCAGGGAGGCCCCUUCAAAACAGACAAAAGCUGGAGACAUUGAGAUAAUAACAAAUACUGGUUAUAUUUUAAAAUGCUGUAUAUAUCUCCCUUAAAACAAGCCAGUACUGUGGAUGGACAAGGGCCUCUUCGCUGCCUGAGGCCCAAUUAGAAGACCCUUCAUCUCUGGCACUGGACUUGCCCAGAAGCUUUAGAGACACCUGCUCCACUGCUCCACAGCUAGAGCCCAGGAUGCCUGUGGGCAUGACAUGGAGGGGAGCCUGCUGUAGAUCCCCACCUGGGUGCAGUCACAGAGAGAGAGAGAGGCAGAGACACAGGCAGAGGGAGAAGCAGACUCCAUGCACCGGGAGCCCGACGCGGGAUUCGAUCCCAGGUCUCCAGGAUCGCGCCCUGGGCCAAAGGCAGGCGCCAAACCGCUGCGCCACCCAGGGAUCCCCAGAGAACUGUUCUAAGCAAAGAGAAUGUGUUCUGCAAGGCCUACCUCAGAUGUCGCCAAGAAGAAUAACAGACAAGGUAACACCAGGAGACUUCAAGGAUGAUGAAACGCAGAGUCUCUCCAAGAGCAAGAAUCAGAGGCUGCUUGAUGGGCGAUGAAGUUUGUCACGGUUAGGGAGCAGCAGCCAUAGGGUGUGUUUUACUCUCUCCUCUGUCCCAAUGGGAUUUUUACUAUUUUCCUGAUCCUACUUCAUCACAGUAUAUUGGCUAUGUGAAAGGCUGAUAAUUUAUCUUAUACUUUUUUUUUUUUUUACCAUGUCAGUCUUGAAUUUCCUAUCUUCUACAUUUUCAUGUGUGAGAAAAAUAAACUAUCAUCUUAU
Canis lupus familiaris (dog) is the source of this 926-nucleotide long non-coding RNA. RefSeq lists it as uncharacterized. The record is from RefSeq and is a predicted model, not a curated record. NCBI's taxonomy places the organism in Eukaryota, Metazoa, Chordata, Mammalia, Carnivora, Canidae. The transcript has 3 exons.